Molecule: long non-coding RNA, 630 nt
Organism: Cicer arietinum (chickpea)
Lineage: Eukaryota; Viridiplantae; Streptophyta; Magnoliopsida; Fabales; Fabaceae
Source: RefSeq, a predicted model, not a curated record
CUUAUGUUUUUUAAGGAGACAAAUUGUGGGACAAAACUUACUUUAUUACUCUGCAUCUUCAUUUCAUAAGAUAUUCCUCAAAUGCAAAUGCGCCCAGAGAUUUAUCACUCUUAUUGACGAAUUAUACAACCAUCAUUCUGGCAUAUGUUGUUUGGCCUCCUCUUCAAUUGAUGAAUUAUUUCAAGGAACUGAGGAGGGCACACUUUUUGACUUGGAGAGGUAAUUCCUAUAUGUUUGUAUGGAAAGCUUUUGGAUUGCAAAGUAUAAAUACUUUGGAUCUACUGAAGUAGUGGUGUGAUAAUUUUCUUACCUAUCUUAAAGCCAUUGGUAUUAACUGCACACUCUAUUUUGAGACUGCAAGUGCAAACCUCUCUACUACGGAGAGGAAGACGACAAGGCUCCUGAUUCUGCUGGAACUACAGUUAAUGGUGAAUCUGGAAAAAAGGGCUACGUUGGGAUCCACAUUUCAGAAUUCUGGGUUUCUUAAGGCAAAAACCCUUCCUUAUUUUAUAGCUUCUUGUUGUUUCCUUGUUCUAGCUACUUUAAUGAUUUACGAACUUGAGAAAUUUAAAUGUGGUUUUAGUAGUUAAUUUAAACGAUACUUUUGAUAUAGAGUAAACUUUUUUUUGA